GCAGUUCGACACAUUUUCAUUUGGUGGCGCUGUGGCUCCUGUGUGGCCGCACUGAUUGAAAGACUGGAAAUGGAGAGAAACGCAAAACUCAAUCCACUGGCAUCAGAUCCGGUGUAUGUCUAGCUGUGCAUCAUGGAAAGAAAUAUGUCAAAACUUGAGGCAUCAGCCAAGUACAGGCAUGAAAAUGACUGGAAACACAAGCAAACAAACAAGCAAAGGACAAAGGACCAAAUUCAGAGAAGCAGCUGUUUGGACUCUCAUUCUGACGGCACCCAUUCACUACAGAGGAUCCAUCUGUUUGGUUGAAGAAACAAGCUCACAUAUAUCUUGGAUUACCUGAGGAUGAGUAAAGUUUCAGCAAAUUUGGGGACACUGCUGAACAGCUGAUCUGCCGUUAGCUGCGUAAAUCUCUCUCACGGUGAGCAGCUCCCAGAGCCCAGCUGAAUUAAUCACAGCCACACGGACACACGGGGGGCAGCCUGAGGAGGAGGACCGAGAGGAGGCUAGAGGAGAAACCAUGCUGUGAGAAAAGAGGCAGAGAAGAGACUGGAGAUAAUGAAGGUGCCCUCGCUUGGACCUAAUAUACUCCUUGUAUCAGUGGAACUUAAGGAUAAUGCUUUCCCUGGUGUGCUGAAAGAAGAUAUAAAGAUACUGGAGC
Molecule: long non-coding RNA, 658 nt
Organism: Cyprinus carpio carpio
Lineage: Eukaryota; Metazoa; Chordata; Actinopteri; Cypriniformes; Cyprinidae
Source: Ensembl